Orcinus orca (killer whale) is the source of this 1027-nucleotide long non-coding RNA. RefSeq lists it as uncharacterized. The record is from RefSeq and is a predicted model, not a curated record. Lineage: Eukaryota; Metazoa; Chordata; Mammalia; Artiodactyla; Delphinidae. The transcript has 5 exons.
AGCGCGAAGGAGGCCUGGCAGUGCCCGCCCAGCCCUACCCAGCCUCCGCGGGCCCCCGGCUCGGCAGCCGUCACAAGGCUGCCCGCGGGGCCCACUUGCAGGGAUGACAGCGCCUGAGGGGUCCAGUCGGGCUCAUCUUCCGGAAGAUUCCUACGGUCGGGGUCCGAGGGACAACCCUGCGCACAGGGCCCCGCAAAUCCGGGGACACACGGCGGAAGGGGCGCUCCCGCCUGGAGGAAUACCAUGAUCAACUAGCCAAUGACAUAGGUCUGCACAAGUCAGACUAUCCGGAUUGCUGCUCUGACUCUGCUGUCCACCAGUGCCGCCACUUGGUCCCUGCAACCCUAGGAUCCAAUUACUCCUGUUGCAUUUAGGUUCCCCAAUUCAGUGGCUACAGUUCCCACUGUAAGGUCUGGCCUACAGAGAAGAGCGAUCACAGAGCCUUUCGCGGAUGCCGGAGCUCCCCUCACAAACUGCUAUGGAGGGCUGAAUAGCACAAACUGGGAGCUUUAAAGCUUAAAGGGACAUUAGACGUCAUGUGACCCAUGCUGAGGAAGAAUCCGUGGCAAAAGCAGAAUCUGAACUCUGAUCUCCUAACCUCCUAUCCAUCCAGUCUGGAGUUUUUUGCCUUGUGCCACGAAACCUUCCUUCAAGCAUUUGGUUGAAUCUGUGGAUGCAGAACCCGAGGAUAUGGAGGGCCAACUGUCCUUGCUGAGUGCUCUACAUACAGUAUCCUAUCUGAUUUGCACAGCAAACCCAUGAAGCAGAAUAUUUUCAUCGCCCCAGAAGAAACUCCAAGACCUUUAAGCAAUCACUCCCCGUUGCCCCUUUCCUGAAACCUCUGGCAACCACUAAUCUGCUUUCUGUCUCUAUAGAUUUGUCUGUUAUGGACAUUUAAUAUGAAUGGAAUUAUACAAUAUGUAGCCUUUUGUGCCUGUCUUCUUUUGCUUAGUGUUUUCAAGGUUUAUCCACAUUGUCAUGUGUUUCGGGACUUCAUUCCUUUUUACAGAUGAAUACUAUUUCAUUU